RNAcentral lists this long non-coding RNA (493 nucleotides) under Brassica rapa (field mustard). RNAcentral describes it as "long non-coding RNA (BRAP_LNC001019)". The record is from RNAcentral. Lineage: Eukaryota; Viridiplantae; Streptophyta; Magnoliopsida; Brassicales; Brassicaceae.
AAGGGGUCUCAUCAGCAGAACCAGAUAAAAUCUCUAAGAAAAUAUCUUUCCACAAGCGCAACGAUGCUCACUCGGGCGAGCUUGACGUGUUCGAGGCCGCCAUGUACUUCUCCGGCUACAACGAGUUCUCCUCCUGCGACCAUAGACACUCACAUAAGCAUGGCUAUAACGCCGCAAGAGAGGAGAAUCGAAGGAGAUGGGGAAUAUUAGGAGGAGGCAGAAGAAUAAGCUUGGAUUUGCCGAUUAGAUGUUCAGAGCAGGUGCAUCAUCUUCACCAAGACCAUCUUGAGAAGCCAGAAGUCAAAGCAAUCAAAGAGAGGACUAGUAACGUGAGAUACAAGCAACCAAGCUCACCGGGUGGGAAAAUCGUCAGCUUCUUGAACUCUUUGUUUCAUCAAGCGGGUUCGAAGAAGAACAAGUCGAAGUCAAAGCCAACGGAACGAGAAGUCGAAGAGGAGAUCCAUGGAGGAGGAUGGAUGAGGAGGAGGAGGAG